RNAcentral lists this ribosomal RNA (460 nucleotides) under uncultured bacterium. Its description in RNAcentral is "bacterial SSU rRNA". It matches the Rfam family "Bacterial small subunit ribosomal RNA", at positions 28 to 507 of the family's 1533-position model. The record is from RNAcentral.
GAUGAACGCUGGCGGCGUGCUUGAUACAUGCAAGUCGAACGGAGAGUGUAGCAAUAUACUUUUAGUGGCGAACGGGUGAGUAACGCGUUGGUGACCUGCCCCGAAGCGAGGGAUAACAGUUCGAAAGAACUGCUAAUACCUCAUGUGAUCACCGGUUUUAGAAUCUGGUGAUUAAAGGUGAAAAUCACUUCGGGAGGGGCCUGCGUCCCAUCAGCUAGUUGGUAAGGUAAUGGCUUACCAAGGCGAUGACGGGUAGGGGACCUGAGAGGGUGGCCCCCCACAAUGGAACUGAAACACGGUCCAUACACCUACGGGUGGCAGCAGUAGGGAAUAUUGCAAAUGGGCGAAAGCCUGAUGUAGCAACGCCGCGUGUGCGAUGAAGGUCUUCGGAUUGUAAAGCAACUUUUUGGAGGGAUGAGGAAGGACAGUACCUCCAGAAUAAGCCUCGGCUAACUACGUG